Molecule: ribosomal RNA, 468 nt
Filed under: uncultured bacterium
Lineage: Bacteria
Description: partial 16S ribosomal RNA
Rfam family: Bacterial small subunit ribosomal RNA
Source: RNAcentral
GACGAACGCUGGCGGCGUGCUUAACACAUGCCAGUCGAACGGAAAGGUCCUGCUUUUGUGGGGUGCUCGAGUGGCGAACGGGUGAGUAACACGUGAGUAACCUGUCCUUGACUUUGGGAUAACUUCAGGAAACUGGGGCUAAUACCGGAUAGGAGCUCCUGCUGCAUGGUGGGGGUUGGAAAGUUUCGGCGGUUGGGGAUGGACUGGCGGCUUAUCAGCUUGUUGGUGGGGUAGUGGCUUACCAAGGCUUUGACGGGUAGCCGGCCUGGGAGGGUGACCGGACACAUUAGGACUGAGAUACGGCCCAGACUCCAACGGGAGGCAGCAGUGGAGAAUAUUGCACAAUAGGCGGAAGCAUGAUGCAGCAACGCCGCGUGCGGGAUGACGGCCUUCGGGUUGUAAACCGAUGUCGCCUGUGCCGAAGCGUGAGUGACGGUAAUGGGUAAAGAAGCACCGGCUAACUACGUG